RNAcentral lists this transfer RNA (87 nucleotides) under Bradyrhizobium sp. Its description in RNAcentral is "tRNA-Leu". It matches the Rfam family "tRNA". Rfam says of the family: Transfer RNA (tRNA) molecules are approximately 80 nucleotides in length. Lineage: Bacteria; Pseudomonadati; Pseudomonadota; Alphaproteobacteria; Hyphomicrobiales; Nitrobacteraceae. The record is from RNAcentral.
GCGGGCGUGGCGGAACUGGUAGACGCGCCGGAUUUAGGUUCCGGUGGCAGAGAUGUCGUGGGGGUUCGAGCCCCUCCGCCCGCACCA